Molecule: ribosomal RNA, 996 nt
Filed under: uncultured Basidiomycota
Lineage: Eukaryota; Fungi; Basidiomycota
Description: eukaryotic LSU rRNA
Rfam family: Eukaryotic large subunit ribosomal RNA (bases 315-996)
Source: RNAcentral
AUCGAUGAAGAACGCAGCGAAAUGCGAUAAGUAAUGUGAAUUGCAGAAUUCAGUGAAUCAUCGAAUCUUUGAACGCACCUUGCGCUCCUUGGUAUUCCGAGGAGCAUGCCUGUUUGAGUGUCAUUAAUAUAUAUAUCAACCCACUCUUUGUUGAGUGGUUUGGAUGUGGGGGUUUGCUGGCCUCUUUAAUGGUUCAGCUCCCCUGAAAUGCAUUAGCAGAACAACCCUGUUCAUUGGUGUGAUAACUAUCUACGCUAUUGAAUGUGAAGGGAAGUUCAGCUUUCUAACUGUCUUUGGACAAUUCAUCAUUAAUGUGACCUCAAAUCAGGUAGGACUACCCGCUGAACUUAAGCAUAUCAAUAAGCGGAGGAAAAGAAACUAACAAGGAUUCCCCUAGUAACUGCGAGUGAAGCGGGAAAAGCUCAAAUUUAAAAUCUGGCGGUCUUUUGGCUGUCCGAGUUGUAAUCUAGAGAAGUGUUAUCCGCGCUGGACCGUGUACAAGUCUCCUGGAAUGGAGCAUCAUAGAGGGUGAGAAUCCCGUCUUUGACAUGGACUGCCAGGGCUUUGUGAUGCGCUCUCAAAGAGUCGAGUUGUUUGGGAAUGCAGCUCAAAAUGGGUGGUAAAUUCCAUCUAAAGCUAAAUAUUGGCGAGAGACCGAUAGCGAACAAGUACCGUGAGGGAAAGAUGAAAAGAACUUUGGAAAGAGAGUUAAACAGUACGUGAAAUUGCUGAAAGGGAAACGCUUGAAGUCAGUUAUGUCGUCCAGGGAUCAACCUUGCUUUUGCUUGGUGCACUUUCUGGUUUGACAGGUCAGCAUCAAUUUUGACUAUUGGAAAAAGGCUUAGGGAAUGUGGCAUCUUUGGAUGUGUUAUAGCCCUUGGUCAUAUACAAUGGUUGGGAUUGAGGAACUCAGCACGCCGCAAGGCCGGGUUUUUAACCACGUACGUGCUUAGGAUGCUGGCAAUAUGGCUUUAAUCGACCCGUCUUGAAACACGG